UGGGGGAUAUUGCACAAUGGAGGAAACUCUGAUGCAGCGACGCCGCGUGAGGGAAGAAGGUCUUCGGAUUGUAAACCUCAUGUCUUUAGGGACGAAGGAAGUGACGGUACCGAAAGAGGAAGCCACGGCUAACUACGUG
Molecule: ribosomal RNA, 139 nt
Filed under: uncultured bacterium
Lineage: Bacteria
Description: partial 16S rRNA
Rfam family: Bacterial small subunit ribosomal RNA
Source: RNAcentral